UAGGGAAUCUUCCGCAAUGGGCGAAAGCCUGACGGAGCAACGCCGCGUGAGUGAUGAAGGUCUUCGGAUCGUAAAACUCUGUUAUUAGGGAAGAACAAAUGUGUAAGUAACUAUGCACGUCUUGACGGUACCUAAUCAGAAAGCCACGGCUAACUACGUGCCAGCAGCCGCGGUAAUACGUAGGUGGCAAGCGUUAUCCGGAAUUAUUGGGCGUAAAGCGCGCGUAGGCGGUUUUUUAAGUCUGAUGUGAAAGCCCAGGGCUCAACCGUGGAGGGUCAUUGGAAACUGGAAAACUUGAGUGCAGAAGAGGAAAGUGGAAUUCCAUGUGUAGCGGUGAAAUGCGCAGAGAUAUGGAGGAACACCAGUGGCGAAGGCGACUUUCUGGUCUGUAACUGACGCUGAUGUGCGAAAGCGUGGGGAUCAAACAGG
RNAcentral lists this ribosomal RNA (429 nucleotides) under Actinomycetes bacterium. RNAcentral describes it as "Actinobacteria bacterium partial 16S ribosomal RNA". It matches the Rfam family "Bacterial small subunit ribosomal RNA", at positions 355 to 776 of the family's 1533-position model. Lineage: Bacteria; Bacillati; Actinomycetota; Actinomycetes. The record is from RNAcentral.